This 429-nucleotide ribosomal RNA is filed under the name uncultured bacterium. RNAcentral's name for it is "partial 16S ribosomal RNA". It matches the Rfam family "Bacterial small subunit ribosomal RNA", at positions 338 to 795 of the family's 1533-position model. The record is from RNAcentral.
CCUACGGGAGGCUGCAGUAACGAAUCUUCCGCAAUGCACGAAAGUGUGACGGAGCGACGCCGCGUGGAGGACGAAGCCCUUCGGGGUGUAAACUCCUGUCAGGGGUUACCGGAGCCCCAGAGGAAGGCACGGCUAACUCUGUGCCAGCAGCCGCGGUAAGACAGAGGUGCCGAGCGUUAGGCGGAAUCACUGGGCUUAAAGCGUGUGUAGGCGGGUCGUUAAGUACCUUGUGAAAUCCCCCGGCUUAACCGGGGAACUGCUGGGUAUACUGGCGACCUUGAGCAAUCCAGGGGCGAGCGGAACAAGCGGUGGAGCGGUGAAAUGCGUAGAUAUCGCUUGGAACGCCGACGGUGAAAACAGCUCGCUGGGGAUCCUGACGCUGAGACACGAAAGCCAGGGGAGCAAACGGGAUUAGAUACCCUUGUAGUC